RNAcentral lists this ribosomal RNA (401 nucleotides) under uncultured bacterium. Its description in RNAcentral is "bacterial SSU rRNA". It matches the Rfam family "Bacterial small subunit ribosomal RNA", at positions 355 to 773 of the family's 1533-position model. The record is from RNAcentral.
UGGGGAAUCUUGCACAAUGGGGGCAACCCUGAUGCAGCGACGCCGCGUGAGCGAUGAAGCCCUUCGGGGCGUAAAGCCCUUUCGACCGGAACGAUAAUGACGGUACCGGGAGAAGAAGCUGCGGCUAACUACGUGCCAGCAGCCGCGGUAAUACGUAGGCAGCAAGCGUUGUUCGGAGUUACUGGGCGUAAAGAGUGCGUAGGCGGUUUUCUAAGUUCGGUGUGAAAUCUCCCGGCUUAACUGGGAGGGUGCGCCGAAGACUGGGAAGCUGGAGUGUGGGAAAGGCAGGCGGAAUUCCUGGUGUAGCGGUGAAAUGCGUAGAUAUCAGGAGGAACACCGGCGGUGUAGACGGCUUGCUAGACCAUAACUGACGCUGAGGCACGAAAGCGUGGGUAGCAAAC